RNAcentral lists this non-coding RNA (46 nucleotides) under Trichobilharzia regenti. Lineage: Eukaryota; Metazoa; Platyhelminthes; Trematoda; Strigeidida; Schistosomatidae. The record is from RNAcentral.
ACCCAGAUGAAGAGUUCAAAAUAGAACGAAAUGCGCAUCCUGGUAU